This 442-nucleotide ribosomal RNA is filed under the name uncultured bacterium. RNAcentral's name for it is "partial 16S ribosomal RNA". It matches the Rfam family "Bacterial small subunit ribosomal RNA", at positions 338 to 795 of the family's 1533-position model. The record is from RNAcentral.
CCUACGGGCGGCAGCAGUGGGGGAUAUUGCACAAUGGGGGAAACCCUGAUGCAGCGACGCCGCGUGGGCGAAGAAGUAUUUCGGUAUGUAAAGCCCUAUCAGCAGGGAAGAAGAAGUGACGGUACCAGAGUAAGAAGCACUGGCAAACUACGUGCCAGCAGGCGCGGUAAUACGUAUGGUGCAAGCGUUAUCCGGAUUUACUGGGUGUAAAGGGAGCGCAGGCGGGACUGCAAGCCUGAUGUGAAAGCCCGCGGCCCAACCGGGGAACUGCAUUGGGAACUGCGGGGCUGGAGUGCCGGAGAGGUAGGCGGAAUUCCUGGUGUAGCGGUGAAAUGCGUAGAGAUUAGGAGGAACACCAGUGGCGAAGGCGACCGACUGGACGGUGACUGACGCUGAGGCUCGAAAGCGUGGGGAGCAAACAGGAUUAGAUACCCCGGUAGUC